RNAcentral lists this ribosomal RNA (253 nucleotides) under uncultured bacterium. RNAcentral describes it as "partial 16S ribosomal RNA". It matches the Rfam family "Bacterial small subunit ribosomal RNA", at positions 524 to 776 of the family's 1533-position model. The record is from RNAcentral.
UACGUAGGGGGCAAGCGUUGUCCGGAAUCAUUGGGCGUAAAGCGCGCGUAGGCGGCCCGGUAAGUCCGCUGUAAAAGUCCAGGGCUCAACCCUGGAAAGCCGGUGGAUACUGUCGGGCUAGAGUCCGGAAGAGGCGAGUGGAAUUCCCGGUGUAGCGGUGAAAUGCGCAGAUAUCGGGAAGAACACCCGUGGCGAAGGCGGCUCUCUGGGACGGUACUGACGCUGAGACGCGAAAGCGUGGGGAGCGAACAGG